CUACGGGCGGCAGCAGUGAGGAAUAUUGCACAAUGGGGGGAACCCUGAUGCAGCAACGCCGCGUGGAGGAAGACGCAUUUCGGUGUGUAAACUCCUUUUAUAUGUCAAGAAAAUGACGGUAGCAUAUGAAUAAGGACCGGCUAACUCCGUGCCAGCAGCCGCGGUAAUACGGAGGGUGCAAGCGUUACUCGGAAUCACUGGGCGUAAAGGACGCGUAGGCGGGUUGGAAAGUCAGGUGUGAAAUCCUACAGCUUAACUGUAGAACUGCACUUGAAACUUCUAAUCUAGAGUAUGGGAGGGGGAGAUGGAAUUAGUGGUGUAGGGGUAAAAUCCGUAGAUAUCACUAGGAAUACCUAAAGCGAAGGCGAUCUCCUGGAACAUUACUGACGCUAAGGCGUGAAAGCGUGGGGAGCAAACAGGAUUAGAUACCCCGGUAGUC
Molecule: ribosomal RNA, 439 nt
Filed under: uncultured bacterium
Lineage: Bacteria
Description: partial 16S ribosomal RNA
Rfam family: Bacterial small subunit ribosomal RNA
Source: RNAcentral